GACGGUACCGUAAGAAUAAGCACCGGCUAACUACGUGCCAGCAGCCGCGGUAAUACGUAGGGUGCAAGCGUUAAUCGGAAUUACUGGGCGUAAAGCGUGCGCAGGCGGUUUUGUAAGACAGAGGUGAAAUCCCCGGGCUCAACCUGGGAACUGCCUUUGUGACUGCAAGGCUGGAGUACGGCAGAGGGGGAUGGAAUUCCGCGUGUAGCAGUGAAAUGCGUAGAUAUGCGGAGGAACACCGAUGGCGAAGGCAAUCCCCUGGGCCUGUACUGACGCUCAUGCACGAAAGCGUGGGGAGCAAACAGGAUUAGAUACCCUGGUAGUCCACGCCCUAAACGAUGUCAACUGGUUGUUGGGUCUUCACUGACUCAGUAACGAAGCUAACGCGUGAAGUUGACCGCCUGGGGAGUACGGCCGCAAGGUUGAAACUCAAA
This 434-nucleotide ribosomal RNA is filed under the name uncultured bacterium. RNAcentral's name for it is "bacterial SSU rRNA". It matches the Rfam family "Bacterial small subunit ribosomal RNA", at positions 471 to 905 of the family's 1533-position model. The record is from RNAcentral.